Molecule: ribosomal RNA, 635 nt
Filed under: uncultured Marinobacter sp.
Lineage: Bacteria; Pseudomonadati; Pseudomonadota; Gammaproteobacteria; Pseudomonadales; Marinobacteraceae
Description: bacterial SSU rRNA
Rfam family: Bacterial small subunit ribosomal RNA
Source: RNAcentral
CGCCUGGGGAGUACGGCCGCAAGGUUAAAACUCAAAUGAAUUGACGGGGGCCCGCACAAGCGGUGGAGCAUGUGGUUUAAUUCGACGCAACGCGAAAAACCUUACCUGGCCUUGACAUCCAGAGAGCUUUCCAGAGAUGGAUUGGUGCCUUCGGGAACUCUGAGACAGGUGCUGUAUGGCCGUCGUCAGCUCGUGUCGUGAGAUGUUGGGUUAAGUCCCGUAACGAGCGCAACCCCUAUCCCUGGUUGCUAGCAGGUAAUGCUGAGAACUCCAGGGAGACUGCCGGUGACAAACCGGAGGAAGGUGGGGAUGACGUCAGGUCAUCAUGGCCCUUACGGCCAGGGCUACACACGUGCUACAAUGGCGCGUACAGAGGGCUGCCAACUCGCGAGAGUGAGCCAAUCCCUUAAAACGCGUCGUAGUCCGGAUCGGAGUCUGCAACUCGACUCCGUGAAGUCGGAAUCGCUAGUAAUCGCGAAUCAGAAUGUCGCGGUGAAUACGUUCCCGGGCCUUGUACACACCGCCCGUCACACCAUGGGAGUGGAUUGCACCAGAAGUAGUUAGUCUAACCUUCGGGAGGACGAUUACCACGGUGUGGUUCAUGACUGGGGUGAAGUCGUAACAAGGUAACCGUA